Molecule: ribosomal RNA, 208 nt
Filed under: Limosilactobacillus reuteri
Lineage: Bacteria; Bacillati; Bacillota; Bacilli; Lactobacillales; Lactobacillaceae
Description: Lactobacillus reuteri partial 16S ribosomal RNA
Rfam family: Bacterial small subunit ribosomal RNA
Source: RNAcentral
UUUAUAUGAGAGUUUGAUCCUGGCUCAGGAUGAACGCCGGCGGUGUGCCUAAUACAUGCAAGUCGUACGCACUGGCCCAACUGAUUGAUGGUGCUUGCACCUGAUUGACGAUGGAUCACCAGUGAGUGGCGGACGGGUGAGUAACACGUAGGUAACCUGCCUCGGAGCGGGGGGUAACAUUUGGAAACAGAUGCUAAUACCGCAUAAC